This 116-nucleotide ribosomal RNA is filed under the name Xenorhabdus szentirmaii DSM 16338. The record is from RNAcentral. Lineage: Bacteria; Pseudomonadati; Pseudomonadota; Gammaproteobacteria; Enterobacterales; Morganellaceae.
UCUGGCGGCAAUAGCGCGGUGGUCCCACCUGACCCCAUGCCGAACUCAGCAGUGAAACGCCGUAGCGCCGAUGGUAGUGUGGGGUCUCCCCAUGUGAGAGUAGGAUACUGCCAGAC